RNAcentral lists this ribosomal RNA (458 nucleotides) under uncultured bacterium. RNAcentral's name for it is "partial 16S ribosomal RNA". It matches the Rfam family "Bacterial small subunit ribosomal RNA", at positions 338 to 795 of the family's 1533-position model. The record is from RNAcentral.
CCUACAGGAGGCAGCAGUGAGGAAUAUUGGUCAAUGGCCGGAAGGCUGAACCAGCCAUGCCGCGUGAAGGUCAGUGCCCUAUGGGCGUUAAACCUCUUUUGUGCGGGAGCAAUAAUGGUCACGUGUGGCCAGACGAGAUUACCCUACGAAUUAGCAUCGGCUAACCUCGUGCCAGCAGCCGCGGUAAUACGUGGGGGGCGAGUGUUAUCCGGAUUCAUUGGGCGUAAAGCGCGCGUAGGCGGCCUGUUAGGUCGGGGGUCAAAUACCGGGGGUCAACCCCGGUCCGCACCCGAUACCGGCAGGCUUGAGGAUGGUAGGGGAAGGCGGAAUUCCCAGUGUAGCGGUGGAAUGCGCAGAUAUUGGGAAGAACACCGGCGGCGAAGGCGGCCUUCUGGGCCACGACUGACGCUGAGGCGCGAAAGCUAGGGGAGCGAACAGGAUUAGAUACCCUAGUAGUC